CCUACGGGUGGCAGCAGUGGGGAAUAUUGCACAAUGGGCGAAAGCCUGAUGCAGCAAAGCCGCGUGAAGGAAGACGGUUUUAGGAUUGUAAACUUCUAUCAAUAGGGAAGAAAGAAAUGACGGUACCUAAAUAAGGAGCCCAGGAUAACUACGUGCCAGCAGCCGCGGCAAUACGGAGGGGGCAAGAGUUAUCCGGAAUUACUGGGUGUAAAGGGAGAGUAGGCGGCAAGGUAAGCGAUAUGUGAAAGCCUUAGGCUUAACCAAAGGAUUGCAGAAAGAACUAUCUAGCUAGAGUACAGGAGAGGAAAGCGGAAUUCCUAGUGUAGCGGUGAAAUGCGUAGAGAUUAUGAAGAACACCAGUGGCGAAGGCGGCUUUCUGGACUGAAACUGACGCUGAGGCUCGAAAGCGUGGGGAUCGAACAGGAUUAGAUACCCGGGUAGUC
This 443-nucleotide ribosomal RNA is filed under the name uncultured bacterium. RNAcentral's name for it is "partial 16S ribosomal RNA". It matches the Rfam family "Bacterial small subunit ribosomal RNA", at positions 338 to 795 of the family's 1533-position model. The record is from RNAcentral.